This 666-nucleotide ribosomal RNA is filed under the name uncultured Tannerella sp. RNAcentral describes it as "bacterial SSU rRNA". It matches the Rfam family "Bacterial small subunit ribosomal RNA", at positions 97 to 761 of the family's 1533-position model. Lineage: Bacteria; Pseudomonadati; Bacteroidota; Bacteroidia; Bacteroidales; Tannerellaceae. The record is from RNAcentral.
GGCGCACGGGUGAGUACGCGUAUGUAACCUGCCCGCAACAGGGGGAUAACCCGGCGAAAGUCGGACUAAUACCGCAUAAAACAGGGGUCCCGCAUGGGAAUAUUUGUUAAAGAUUUAUCGGUUGCGGAUGGGCAUGCGUACCAUUAGGUAGUUGGUGAGGUAACGGCUCACCAAGCCUUCGAUGGUUAGGGGUUCUGAGAGGAAGGUCCCCCACACUGGUACUGAGACACGGACCAGACUCCUACGGGAGGCAGCAGUGAGGAAUAUUGGUCAAUGGGCGAGAGCCUGAACCAGCCAAGUCGCGUGAAGGAUGACUGCCCUAUGGGUUGUAAACUUCUUUUACAAGGGAAUAAAAUGAGAUACGUGUAUUUUAUUGCAUGUACCUUGGGAAUAAGCAUCGGCUAACUCCGUGCCAGCAGCCGCGGUAAUACGGAGGAUGCGAGCGUUAUCCGGAUUUAUUGGGUUUAAAGGGUGCGUAGGUGGGCUGUUAAGUCAGCGGUGAAAGUUUGUCGCUUAACGAUAAAAUUGCCGUUGAAACUGGUAGUCUUGAGUAUAGAUGAAGUANGCGGAAUGCGUGGUGUAGCGGUGAAAUGCAUAGAGAUCACGCAGAACUCCGAUUGCGAAGGCAGCUUACUAAGGUAUAACUGACACUGAAGCACGAAAGCG